CACAAACCAGUAAGAGACAUUAAAAAGAAAGAAAUGAUUGUAAAUCAUAAUUCUGUUAAUGAUGGUGCUGCAACCUCAGAAUGGGAUUAGUAGUAGUUUACUUUUUCACCUGCAGGAUUGCACCUCAAUAAAAUGAUAGGUGUAGCCUACUACCAUUCCAGUUUUCACCAGAAGCCUAAUAUUAUAAGCUA
Molecule: long non-coding RNA, 191 nt
Organism: Etheostoma spectabile (orangethroat darter)
Lineage: Eukaryota; Metazoa; Chordata; Actinopteri; Perciformes; Percidae
Exons: 3
Source: RefSeq, a predicted model, not a curated record